RNAcentral lists this ribosomal RNA (714 nucleotides) under Triticum aestivum (bread wheat). RNAcentral's name for it is "partial small subunit ribosomal RNA". The record is from RNAcentral. Lineage: Eukaryota; Viridiplantae; Streptophyta; Magnoliopsida; Poales; Poaceae.
AUGGAUCAUACAGGAAUACCUAGAUGGACUAAGUUGACAACUCCUAAUCUCAUGGUGUAUAGAAUUUUCUUUGAGGUGGAGGAAGUUUUGGAUGAAGUUUGGGCCAAGAAUGAGGAUGAACUGUCUCAAGGAUAUGAAGAAUGGAUGGACUUUCAACAUGGAGAGGAAGAGAGAAGAGAUUCCAAAAAAGCUAAGACAGGGGAAGAUGGUACUAACACAAUUUGUGCAAGCAUCAGAACCAUAAUUGCUUUGAAGGAUAGGGAUGUUGCACUUAAAGAACAAGAAGUUGUUGAUAAAGUACUAUAUACUAGAAAUCAAGACACUGACAAGAUGAAAGAGAGGGAUGAAGGAACAAGAUCCACUUCAGUCAAUGGGGAGGGAGAGAAAAAGAAUGAAAAUGAGACACAUAACAUAACUACGGAUAGAAAUCCAGAGGGAGGGGGUGAAGCAUCUCAGUCAGUCGGCUUGGGGACUAAACUGGGAAUUGAGUAUCAGGAAGAUGUGGUGAUGGAAAACAAAGAUGGUUAUGAACCAAAUCAAGGUUGUCCAAGAUACAGUGGGAGAAUUGCUUCAAAGAACAGAGAUGGCACCCCUAUUUUAGACAGAGCUAUGACUUUGGCCAGGGCAAAAAAUUUGGCUCUUUCUGAAGGUGAGGGAGGACGAAAAGGUGGAGCUGCAACAGGGUGCAAAGCUGCUGGAAUGAGUCGUCGAUGA